Molecule: ribosomal RNA, 535 nt
Filed under: Phanerochaete sordida
Lineage: Eukaryota; Fungi; Basidiomycota; Agaricomycetes; Polyporales; Phanerochaetaceae
Description: eukaryotic LSU rRNA
Rfam family: 5.8S ribosomal RNA (bases 185-338)
Source: RNAcentral
AACGGGUUGUAGCUGGCCUCUCGGGGCAUGUGCACACCUGGCUCAUCCACUCUUCAACCUCUGUGCACUUGUUGUAGGUCGGCAGAAGGGCGAGCCUUAAAACAGCUCGCUUGGAAGCCUUCCUAUGUUUUACCACAAACGCUUCAGUUUAAGAAUGUAACCUGCGUAUAACGCAACUAUAUACAACUUUCAGCAACGGAUCUCUUGGCUCUCGCAUCGAUGAAGAACGCAGCGAAAUGCGAUAAGUAAUGUGAAUUGCAGAAUUCAGUGAAUCAUCGAAUCUUUGAACGCACCUUGCGCUCCCUGGUAUUCCGGGGAGCAUGCCUGUUUGAGUGUCAUGGUAUCCUCAUCCUUCAUAACUUUUUGUUAUCGAAGGCAUGGACUUGGAGGUCGUGCUGGUUCCUCGUUGAAUCGGCUCCUCUUAAAUGUAUUAGCGUGAGUGUAACGGAUCGCUUCGGUGUGAUAAUUAUCUGCGCCGUGGUCGUGAAGUAACAUAAGCUUGCGCUUCUAACCGUCCUUAAGCUGGACAACAUAA